Acanthosepion pharaonis is the source of this 109-nucleotide non-coding RNA. Lineage: Eukaryota; Metazoa; Mollusca; Cephalopoda; Sepiida; Sepiidae. The record is from the annotation of a GenBank genome assembly.
CUGUGGCCAUAUCACGUUGAAACACCGGUUCUCGUCCGAUCACUGAAGCAACAUUGAGGCUGAUCAGUACUUAGAUGGGUGACCGUUACGGAAAAACAGGAGCUGUAAG